This 537-nucleotide ribosomal RNA is filed under the name Triticum aestivum (bread wheat). Its description in RNAcentral is "partial small subunit ribosomal RNA". Lineage: Eukaryota; Viridiplantae; Streptophyta; Magnoliopsida; Poales; Poaceae. The record is from RNAcentral.
AUGCCUUCGGUAAUCAGCAGCAACACACGAGAUCCUGGAACCUGCAUUAGUUAUUGUUUGCACAAUAAUUACUUACUGAUAUCAUUACCAAGCUAUCCGAGCCAUCACUCCCCGGACACCACUUGGUUUCCUUGCCCAUCUAUUCGUCGGAUCUUUACACAAUUGACAGGAUUGACUUCAGAUCUUACGAAAGGUUUCAUAAAGAUAGUUCAGAACCUAAUCUAUACAAAGUUUUACAAACGAAAUCUACACAAACUCAUGGAUUUGAAACUGAAAGAUAUUAUGUUAUGCAUCUCUCCAAAAAUCCAGCAUAAAUAUAUAGAGGGAACAUAUAUUCCCAGAAAUUUACGGUCACGGUCAAGAGCAACGGUGAGUGUGGAGCAAGCCUGUGGGAGAGUUUUUCUGAAAGCAAGCCCUCAGCACGCCCCGACAACCUUUCCCUGUCAGCUUUGCUCCCCUCUUCCUCCUGUUUGCUUAGAAUUGUUUUAUUGUCGUUCAUAUUCUGGAUUAAAUUCUGAUGAGGUUUCUGCUUGUUAG